This 501-nucleotide ribosomal RNA is filed under the name uncultured bacterium. RNAcentral describes it as "partial 16S ribosomal RNA". It matches the Rfam family "Bacterial small subunit ribosomal RNA", at positions 30 to 523 of the family's 1533-position model. The record is from RNAcentral.
AUUGAACGCUGGCGGCAUGCCUUACACAUGCAAGUCGAACGGCAGCACGGGUGCUUGCACCUGGUGGCGAGUGGCGAACGGGUGAGUAAUACAUCGGAACGUACCUUAUCGUGGGGGAUAACGCAGCGAAAGUUGCGCUAGUACCGCAUACGCCCAGAGGGGGAAAGCGGAGGACAGUAAGGCCUCGUGCGAUUAGAGCGGCCGAUGUCUGAUUAGCUUGUUGGUGAGGUAAAAGAUCACCAAGUCGAUGAUCAGUAGCCGGUCUGAGAGGACGAUCAGCCACACUGGGACUGAGACACGGCCCAGACUCCUACGGGAGGCAGCAGUGGGGAAUUUUGGACAAUGGGGGCAACCCUGAUCCAGCAAUGCCGCGUGAGUGAAGAAGGCCUUCGGGUUGUAAAGCUCUUUUGUCAGGGAAGAAACAGCAGCUCUAACUCAGUCUGCGAAUGACGGUACCUGAAGAAUAAGCACCGGCUAACUACGUGCCAGCCGCCGCGGUAA